RNAcentral lists this ribosomal RNA (385 nucleotides) under Macrobrachium malcolmsonii (monsoon river-prawn). Its description in RNAcentral is "partial 16S rRNA". It matches the Rfam family "Bacterial large subunit ribosomal RNA", at positions 1923 to 2518 of the family's 2925-position model. The record is from RNAcentral. Lineage: Eukaryota; Metazoa; Arthropoda; Malacostraca; Decapoda; Palaemonidae.
UUAAAGGGCCGCGGUAAUUUGACCGUGCGAAGGUAGCAUAGUCAGUAGUCUUUUAAUUGGAGGCUUGAAUGAAUGGUUGGACGAGGGACAAGCUGUCUCCUUUACGGUGCUCGAAUUUAACUUUUGAGUGAAAAGGCUCAAAUUAUUUAGAGGGACGAUAAGACCCUAUAAAACUUGAUAUAAUUCGAACUUGACUUGUGAUUUGAGUGAAAAAUAGUCUUGUUUGGUUCAUAUUUCGUUGGGGAGAUGAAGAUAUAAUGUGUAACUGUCUAUUGAAUUUUAUAGUAUUAAUUAGAAUUUGAUCCUUCUUNGAGGAUUAGGAGAAUAAGUUACUUUAGGGAUAACAGCGUGAUUUUCUUUGAGAGUUCUUAUCGACAAGAGUAGU